This is a long non-coding RNA of Dromaius novaehollandiae (emu), 654 nucleotides long. RefSeq lists it as uncharacterized. NCBI's taxonomy places the organism in Eukaryota, Metazoa, Chordata, Aves, Casuariiformes, Dromaiidae. The record is from RefSeq and is a predicted model, not a curated record. The transcript is spliced from 3 exons.
CUCAUGCUGAAUGGAAGUUUACUUUUGCAAAGGAGGAAACCUAAAAUGGGAGGAGCUAUGAAAAUGGAGCAGGACUGGAAGCUCCCAGCAUGACUUUGCAGCACUCUUCUUCCUUGUAAAGAUGCAGCUGAGGAAAAGAUCAAAUGCUUUACUGCGGAUUGGUAUCUGUUACCUUUUUGGAGUUGUGACUCCAGCACCAAACACAGCCCUUUGAGAGCAUCACGAGGUCUGCAAGGGCUACAGUGUUAUCUCCAGCUUCCACAAAGUCAUGCUUUUGCAUAUGCCUUGGUAUACAGCCCGGUGUCAGAUGGGAGACUCGUACCUUGUUUGGUUUUCAGUUCUCGUAAUUCACUCUUCGUUCACCUGGGAAAGUUCAUUCUCUCUGAGAGGCAGUUAUGCGUACAAGUAUUCACCCUGAGUGCUUGUGUGAGACAACAGCGCUGAUUUACCUGAGAGGAAAAAUACAAAUUACACAACGUAUUUAAUUUGGUGAUUUUUACGAAUUGUCUGUUUCAGUUCUGUUAUUUUUUCACUGUGAGCAAGACAGUAUGUGAAUAUGUAUGAAUUCAUGCUAUGUGGUAUCAUACUGCUUAUGCGGAUGGGGGGGACGUUUGUCUCUGCUUAGAGAUUCUUUCCUGGGUUGGAAAAAAUAAA